UAUCCUCAGUGCCUGAUAUAUAGUGAGGGC
RNAcentral lists this non-coding RNA (30 nucleotides) under Homo sapiens (human). Lineage: Eukaryota; Metazoa; Chordata; Mammalia; Primates; Hominidae. The record is from RNAcentral.